UUUUGCUCAUCUUGAUUUAGGGUUCAAAUUCUUGUCUUUGAGCAAUGAAGUAAGUGGUGUGUUGGGCCAAACAUAUAAACCUAACUAUGUGAGUCGUGUGAACAUUGGAGCAAAAAUGCCAAUAAUGGGAGGUGGAAAAGAGUAUGAAACAACAAGCUUGUUCUCCCCAGAUUGUUCGGUAGCUCGUUUUGUUGGUAAUGACGGAUUCAACAAUGAUAUUGCGAUGGUGGAGAAUUUGAGUCUCCCUAGCAUGAGUUGUACAAGUGGAAUUGAUGGGCAAGGAGUUGUAUGCAGGAGAUAAUUUUGUUCUCUAUCAGAGGUCUCAAGUUUAUCACGCAUGUGAAGUGAUACUUCAAUAAUAAGAGGAUUUGCUAUUUUUUUUAUUUGUUUAAAUACAAUAAUGUAUCAAAUCAUCAAAUAACUUGGAUGAUUCUGUGCUUAACAUUCGAAAAUAAUGUACUAUUGUCUGUCUUACAUGAAAUAAAAUAUAUUUAUAAGCAAAAAUAACAUGUGUGUAAUUGUCAACUUAGCCCAAAAUAAAAAUAGUAAGGUCGAAGUUAUUAAGUGUGCAUAUUUUUAUGGGUUAAAUAUGAUUUUGGUCCCUAUAAAUAUAUCAUCUUUUCGUUUUAGUCCCUCUAAAAUUUUCCUUCAACUUUUAGUCCCUUAAAAAUUUUCAAUCUUCACUUUUGGUCCCUCCUUUAAAAUAAAAUCAUAUGUAGAAUUCGUAUUUUUAAAUAAAAUUUUGCAGAAAAAUUCAUAAUAUUAUAAGAAUCUCUGCCCAAAAAAUUUAGAAUUUUUUAAAAGAACAUGAAUUUAAUAUGAAUUUUUAUAUUUUUGAUAGUUAAAAAUUCAUAUUAAAUUUAUGUUUAGUUAAAAAAUUCUAAUUUUUUUUGGAAAAUAUUUUUAUUUCAUUCAAAAAUACUAAAAUUAACUUUAAAAUAGGGACCAAAAGUAGUGAUUGAAAAUUUUAUAGGGAUUAGAAGUUGAAGGAAAAUUUUAGAGGGACUAAAACGAAAAGUUGGUAUAUUUAUAGGGACCAAAAACAUAUUUACCCUAUUUUUAUUUGUACAAAAAAAAUCCACUUGCCCCCAUUAAAACCAAUUUAAAAUAAAGGAGAAUUUUGUAAAUUGCACUCAAUUUUUAUUUUUUAAUGAAACAUUUUUACAACUGUUCCUAAAUUUACAAACAGUCAAACAUAACCUUGUGUUUAAAAUUUAUCUGAAUAGUAACAAGUGUGUAAUUUUAUCCAAGAAUUGGCAAACCAAGCAGGGGUAUGAAACUUGAAAGAGAAAGAAAGAUAACAUAAAGUAUGAAGGUUGAAUAGCAUAAAAGAAGGUUUCUUGAAAAAAAAAGAUUGGAGGUGUGCAAAAUUGUGAAGAUUAUUUUCUCUAAUCUUCGUGGAAUCUUCCUCCCUUAUGUUUCUUUUCACAACUCUUCUGCUUUUCCUUUUAAUCACUAGUAGCUACCAGUUGUACUGAAAUGGAAUCUAUUGCAUAAUAGGACUUGUAUUUUUCGAUUCAAAUAAGUUCUCUAUUCAAUACAUAAGUCUGUCAAAGUCCGUCCAUAUUAGAAAAUUUUGCACCAUUGAAGUGUUGGAACACCAGCAAGAUAUAGUGAAAAAAUUGGAAAGAACAAACACCUUGGUAAGAGCUGGUGUUAGUAUCACUUAAAAAUGUCGCACAUUGAGCUGCAGCAUUUUAACCUAAUUUUUUCUCGUUCAUUUGCUUUAGGUUUGCAAUUAUUUAACUAACAAAUUUCAUCUAAAAAAAUGCAUCGCACCAAUUUCAUUCCUAUCAUCUUGCCUUUUUUUUUUUAAGGAAAUAUUUUCUACACUUAUUUAAUGCUGCACAUUUGUUCUAGAAACUAUAAGCAUAUCAUGAUCAUGUUUGAUGCCUUCUAUUUUUUACUCUUUUUUUUUGGAUUUUUUUUUUUACAAUUUUUUGUACACUUUCAUUUGUAAGGAAAUAUUUUGUACACUUAUUUAAUACUAAAAAAAUGGAUCGCACCAAUUUCAUUUCUAUCCUCUUACCUUUUUUUUUUUUUGCUAUCCUCUUGCUUUUUUUUUUUACAAUAUUUUGUACAAAAUACUAGAAAAAUUCAUCGCACUAAUCUCUUACCUUUUUUUUUACAAUAUUUUGUACACUUUUUUUUUUUAACCAAUUUCAUGCCUUUAUUUCAUUCCUAUCGUAUUGCCUCUUUUUUUUUUUUUUUACAAUAUUUUCUACACUUAUUUAAUACGUUUACAAACAGAAUACUCUAAUUUCCAUGCAAACUCGGCUACCCUAAUUUCCAUGUAAACUUGGUUAUAUAUACCAAGCCCUAAACGUGUUUCUCUCAACAAAAAAAAAAAAAAACCUAAACCGUGUGAAAAUUUCACACACAACACAAAAAUCAUAUAUUUUCAUAUUUAGAGCUUUGCAAAUGGAAACACGUGACCUUACAACUUAUUUUUUUCACCGUUACCAAUUAUAUAUUGCAUUUUAUUAUUCGUAUGUCAAUGCCUUUACAAUAAACCCGAGCGGAGCACGGGUCAAAAAUCUAAUUAUAUAUAUUUCACACGCACGGUGAUGUCGUCCGUCCUGGCUCAAAAAAAGAAUAUAUAUUUUUUCACAUGAAAAUGUUAAAUUAAUUUUUGUUAAUUUUAUCAUUAAUUUUUGUCAAUUUAAUAUUAAUCUGAACACGCUUGUUUGUAACAAAUAAAUUUGUUACGAUCUGCUCUGAUCCAACAGAGUAUCCGGAAGGUUCCGGAUAUAACCACAUGAGAAAACAAACGCAGUUUGUUUUAGAGAUUAAGCUAACUUAAUCCUUAAGCCACUCCUUUUUUUUUAUUACGAACUCUCCUAUAAAUGGAGAUCUCUCCUCACUUAUACUUGACCCUAAAAUUCACUAUUGAUGCUUCCUGUGUUUUUCUUCUCUUAUCUCUUUUUUGACUUGUGCUGGCGAGUCAUUCUCUUCUUCUACUCCUUUUGUCCCGUCGGUUUCGAGUGAUCUACGUACCAUAUAGAGUGGUUUAAUCGAAUGAUCGAUUAAGCCAUAUUUGAGGGUGUUAUUUCUCGACGACUACUUACGGUGCAAUACGUAAUCGAACAGGUGAACUGGACUGUUUUAUCAUGGAGGCGGUGCAGUUGUUAGUCUACCUUGCACAAAUUCGAGUAGUGCCGUGAAAUGUCUUAAAGAAAGCGACUUGGUCAUGACUCAACCUGAUAAUAUCUUCGGUGGUGAUUUCGAUUUUAUUAAAGAUACUUUUAUGAACUCGAAAAACGAGAUGAAGCAUAGACAAGAGUUUUGAAUCUGCUAAGAAUAUUCUUGUAAAGGUUGAAUAAAUUAAAGAUUUGGCAUAUAUUGAAGCUGCAAAUACUAAUGAGGGUAGAGUGUUGAAAUUGUUCGAUCAUCUUCAUCAUAAAUAGAUGAUGAUUAAUCUAAGGGUCUUGCUAACCAGUAUUCUUAGGGCAAUGGUUAAGGAAACCAAAAGCAGUAUAUUUACAUUGAAUUCAACAAUAUUUUAAUUUUUAAAAAGUUAAAUUCUUCACUUUUCACUAUUUUUCAAUACAAUAUUUUUAUUUUUAUCCUCUUAACGAAUGCUCCAAGGGCACUCUUUAACAUUUCCUUUAAUCUAAAUAUGGUGAAAAGCGGUCAUCUUGCAACAUCCUAAAUCUCAAAACAUAGUUUAAAGACAUUUUAAGUAAAUGGCAUGUCAUUGCGAAAAAUAGAGACUUUUAAAAACCUUUAACAUACAUUCUCAGUUUGACUUAGGAUAUCACUAAUCACAUGCACGAGUCACGUCACACAUAAUUACAGUUAAUUAAGUCAUAGAUAAUUUAAAUCCAAAAGGAUCAGCUGCCUCAAACACGUGAAAUUGUCCCAAAAUAUUUAGACAUGUCCAAGCAUACACUGAUGACAAAGUACUAGACAAAACAUAUUAAUAAUAAAUCCUUUGAUGUCACUAUGAGAGUGAGGGUAAUUAAAUCCCAAGAAUAAAUAUUAUUAGCAAUAAAUUCAGAAGAGGAUAAAACACAAGACUAAUCGCUUGUUUCUUUUUUUUUUUUUUAGUUAUCAUUAGUAGAGUUAAUUUCAAUUGUAAUUUCAUCUUAAUUUGCUUUACAUUUAGUUAGCUAAGUUGUUUUGAUGAGCUGGCAAAGAUAGCUGCUAUAUAAGCUUUCACUUUUUUUUUUUUUUUUGAAUAAGCCCUUUAAUUGUGUAAUCCUAACUAAUUUUUUUCAUAAUGAAUUUUUCUCCUCUUUUGCAUCUUCUUCAUGGUUAAGCUUUGCUUUGAUGGUAUCAUAGCAGGUUUGAACCUACUCUACUUCCACUACGCAUAAACAUUUCUUCAGAUUCAGAUCCUUUUUAUCUUUCUUGAUCGAAAUUCGAUUCGUUAUCGUUUUCGUUGAAUUUUUUUUUGUGUUCUAUGUUUUUCAUAAAUUUUUGUUGAAAUUGCGAUUUUUUUUUUGUUAAUGUUCAUUCUUACUUAAGAAUUGAGUAAUCAUGGUGAGAAACAACAAUGUUCAGAAUCAAGAUCAAGGUCUUGAUCCGUAUUUUGUUCAUCCUUCAGAAAGUUUAUCCACAGUUAGUGUAAAAUCGCAGUUAUCAGGUGACAAUUAUCAUGCUUGGUCUAUGAAGAUUCGAAGAGCAUUAGCAAUCGCAGGUUAUCUUGAUGGUUCAAUUCCAAUUUCUGAAAAAUAUGAUUUGAAUUGUGCUACAUGGGAAAGAUGCAAAUAACUUGGUACAUACUUGGAUUAUUAUUUCGAUUUCUCCUUCAAUUGCGCAAAGUGUAGUAUUCAUAGAAAAUGGAAUAGAUAUGUGGAAUGAUCUCAUAGAUCGUUUUAUAUAUGAGAGGACAUUGUAUUAGAAUAGCUUUUCUUUUGCUAAAAAAAAAAAGAAUAGCUUUUCUAAUACAUAAAUUAGUGUCAUCCUCAUAAUCUAAGCAUUAUAAUACGACCUCUCCUGCCCCCACAGUGAAAUAUUUCAUCAAAUUCAGAUCGAUCUCCUUUUUUAUGGGAGCACACAAGUCACCACCUACCAAUAAGAAUAGAAACAAAACUAAAUGAUCACCUUGUUUCUAACCACUUUCGAUAUUUAUUUCUUGUGUUAGGCUACCAUUAACUAAAGAGUUUUUCUAUCAUGUGCAAAUUUGCACAUGUUAAGAAGUUGUUUUUGAAGGAAUGUUAAGAAGUUUUAAAUAGUAACUUUGCAUUGGAACUUGUAUAUUUUGUAUUAAAUGUAUAACUUUUUAAUAAAUAAUUGUUUUAUUCAAUAAAAAUUUGCUACUUUUAGUUGCUUUAGUACAAUAUUGCAUAUGUUAGACAAACUCUUAACUAAAAUGUACAUAUUCCCAUAAAACACACAUGCUUGCAUCCUCGUUUUCCACCUCUCGCUAUAACUGUACCCACUCAACAUGUAAUCCAAAUCAUACAACUUUUCAAAUCUACUUUGAAAAUCGAGUAUUCCAUACCAUACUUUUCAUAUUCAAUCAUCUCUUUUAUCACUAUCACCCACCCCAUCCACCAUCUAACUCUAUUUGAUGAAACUCGACUAAGUUGAUGAAAUCACUAAAGAAAUAACUUUCGCAACUGUAACUAUAUAUUAAUAACAUAUAAUAUAGACCCAAGGAUAAAUUUGACUAGAAAUCACUCAAGGAUAAGGGAGAGUUUACCUUGGGAAUUUGAGCCCCACCUCCAUUUGUAGAUUGUACUAAAAGUGUAUAUGAAAAAAAAAAUACUAAAAGUGAAAGGGUGAGGGUGAGGAUAGAAUAAUUGUAUCAUAUCAUCUCUCAAUUUAAUGUUUGAUGAUACAACAUGAUCUGGUAAGUUAAUCUUAAACUUAUCAAGUUCAAUCUCUUUAGUUAAUUUGCUUAUCUUGAAUAUGACUUAAGUUAGAAACCAGCAGGAAAUUUUUUAUAAAAUUUAAUGUAAAAAUAAAAUUUUAAAUCUAAAAAAAUAUAAUUGAAAUUUUUUAUUUUAAUUAAAAAUGUUAAUAUUAAUAAUUAAAUUUUAAAAAUGUGCAUGAUUUUGUCACAAGGGUAGUUUUGUCACAUAUAUAUAAUUGGGAAAUUGAUAUUAAAUUAAAUAUUAAAUUUAAUAAUUAAAUUUUAAAAAUGUGUACGAUUUUCUUCAAAAAAAAAAAAAAGUGUAUAAUUUUGUCACAAGGUAGUUUUGUCCUAAUCUAAAAUAUAGAAUCGAAUUGUUGACCUUAUCUAAAAUAUAUAAUCGAAUUAUUUAGUUUACUCGUUAAUUUAUUUUUUUUUUAUCUUUAAAAAGAGUUACCUCGUUUAUUUAGUAUCGUCAAUGAUUUUUUCUCAAAAAAUUAAAAUUAAUUAAAUACUAAUCUAAUUUCGUAGAAUUUUUUGUUAAUUUCAAAAGUAAAAAUAUUACAAAUUAGUUUGGGAAAAAAGUAUGCAUAGGGAAAAUAAUGAAAGUUAAAAAUAAUAAUAUUUUAUUUCUUAUCAUGUGUGCAACAAACACAUGAUAGAAUAAGUAAAUACCUUGUCACCUUCUUAUCAUAUAUGUAUCUAUCUUGUGUCCAACCCUAAAAAUUGAAGGAUUUGCACAAAGUGUUGACAAAAAAUAAGAUGCUAAUAUUAAAAUAUGAAGUGAAAAGAUGUUAAUAUCUCGUGAUUUUUUUCCCCGUUUUUCAUAGGUAAUUCCUUCAGUAAAAACAUUCAUACAUUUGAAUUGUGUUAGACAUUAGUUGUGGAUAUCUCUCGAACAGGAUUCAUUGAUUUACUAUGUUGUAGCACACUAACUCAUUCCACUAGAUCAAAUCCUAUUGUUGUAUUAUGUAAUUUUUAUGAGGCCUUUCUCCUCUAUUUUCCCCCCAUUUUUCGACGUUUAUUCUUUCUUUUUACUAUUUUUUUCUUUGAAAGAAUUCUUUCUUUUUACUAUUUGUCUUGCCUUUAUUUAUAAAUCUUAUUAAAAAUGAAAGAAUUGCAAAACAAAAAAGUAGUUGAAUUUUUAUUUUUUUUUGCUAUAAAAAAGUGGUUUAAUACUUUUUUUACAAGAAAGUGUAUUAUUACUUGGAACUUCAUUCACAUUAUUUGAUAAUAAUAGUGGCAUAGCCUCAGUUUGCGCUCUGCAAAUAAACAGCAAACUUGACGCCACAAUAUAUUUUUAAACUAGAAAAUAAUUUACCCUUUAUUAUGGCUGCAACAAUUCAUAUCCCUUUACCUAGUUUUCAUUAAAGUGACAUACAAUAAUACCGUGCAUGUCUGUGUAUAUAUAUAUAUAUAUAUAUAUAUAUAUAUAUAUAUAUAUAUAUAUAUAUAUAUAUAUAUAUAUAUAUAUAUAUAUAUAUAUAUAUAUAUAUAUAUAUAUAUAUAUAUGUAUGUAUAUGAGUAGUGUAUAUCCAAAAUAAAGUGCUGUCAACUAAUUUUUUGUUAUAUGAAACCUCAACUAAAUUUAUAUCUUAAGGAAUAACCAUGUGAAAAUAUGCUGACUUUGGAAACAAUAGAAGACGUAGUCCGAAAGUAUUGGAAUUCUAGCCGUCUGUAUAGCUUCUUCAUGUCAUGAUAUACUCUCCUCUAUGCCUAUAAAAGGCAAUGCUCUUGCAAUGUUAUUCUCACUCAUUCAACAGUUUCCAAUAUCUGUUUGAAUAAAAAAAAACUAGAAAAUUAUUUCAAUGGCUAAAAUAUUAGUUCAAAUUUUGGUGUCAAUUUUGCUUGUGCUAAUGGCAGUGGAAGCAGCUAGUCCUCCUGGAAAUGCUAAAGGUCGUGGGAAUGGUUAUGCAACCUGCAAGAUAAAGAAGUACAAACAUUGCUAUAAUUCGGUUCAUGUAUGUCCUAAGUCUUGUCCUUAUGAUUGUACUGUGGAGUGUGCCUCUUGCAAACCUAUUUGCAGUAAGUCUUCAUAUAUAUUUUGUUACAUGGAAUCAGUUACAUCAAUUUUUGCAUGAAUACAGUGGUUUAUUAGAUAAUAAUAUUUACAACUAGAUAAAUAACAAAGUAAAUUAACUACUUAACUUAUUUAAUGAUGAACGCACUUGAAUUGCAGCUUGUGACAAACCAGGAGCUGUUUGCCAAGACCCUCGUUUCAUUGGUGGUGAUGGAAUCACUUUUUACUUUCAUGGCAAGAAAGACAACAACUUCUGCCUUGUUUCUGAUAACAACCUCCACAUCAAUGCUCAUUUCAUAGGUAGAAGAAAUGAGAACAUGAAAAGAGACUUCACAUGGGUCCAAUCCAUUGUUAUUCUCUUUGACAAUCACCAACUUUUCCUUGGUGCCCAAAAAACAUCAACAUGGGAUGAUUCUGUAGACCGUCUUGCCCUCUCCUUUGACGGUGAGCCCAUCACUCUCAACGAAUCAGAAGGUGCGAAAUGGGAAUCAUCUGGGGUAUCCUUUGUUAGGGAAACUUCUACAAACAACAUUAUUGUUGAAGUUGAAGGAAAUUUUAGGAUAACUGCUAAGGUUGUCCCUAUAACCGAAGAAGACUCGAGGAUUCACAAUUAUGGUAUCACCAAAGAUGAUUGUUUUGCUCAUCUUGAUUUAGGGUUCAAAUUCUUGUCUUUGAGCAAUGAAGUAAAUGGUGUGUUGGGCCAAACAUAUAAACCUAACUAUGUGAGUCGUGUGAACAUUGGUGCAAAAAUGCCAAUAAUGGGAGGUGGAAAAGAGUAUGAAACCUCAAGCUUGUUCUCUCCAGAUUGUUCUGUGGCACGUUUCAUUGGGAACAAUGGAUUAAACAAAAAUAUUGGAA
Molecule: long non-coding RNA, 8681 nt
Filed under: Medicago truncatula (barrel medic)
Lineage: Eukaryota; Viridiplantae; Streptophyta; Magnoliopsida; Fabales; Fabaceae
Description: long non-coding RNA (MTRU_LNC008178)
Source: RNAcentral